UUUUGUGAAAUUUAAUUAAAUUAUUAAUUAAGUCUUUCUUGAACCUAAAUAUGUGUCUUCUUCUCCACUUUCCGGCUGACAGUGACGCCGGCGCCGGCGCCGGCACCGGCGACCGCGAUGUCGGCGAUGGCGACAAUCUCCCCAGAUUUUCUGCCUAUGCUUUGUCAAAAAUCAAAUCAACCCCAAAAAAUCAAAAACCAAAAAAUCAAAACCAAAUCAACCCCAAAAAAUCAAAAACAAAAAAAUCAAAACCAAAUCAACCUCAAUUUCCUCAAAACCAAAUUAGAGGAGGGAGAAGGGCGGCGUCGUGAAGAGGGAGAAGAGGACCCAGGAUUCGAUUUUC
RNAcentral lists this long non-coding RNA (343 nucleotides) under Salvia miltiorrhiza (redroot sage). RNAcentral describes it as "long non-coding RNA (SMIL_LNC014218)". The record is from RNAcentral. Lineage: Eukaryota; Viridiplantae; Streptophyta; Magnoliopsida; Lamiales; Lamiaceae.